Molecule: long non-coding RNA, 215 nt
Organism: Perognathus longimembris pacificus (Pacific pocket mouse)
Lineage: Eukaryota; Metazoa; Chordata; Mammalia; Rodentia; Heteromyidae
Exons: 3
Source: RefSeq, a predicted model, not a curated record
UGAUCUCUUCAUCCACUGAGUGGCAUCUGGGUUGAUUCCAUGUCUCGAUUAUGGUAAAUAGUGCUGCAGUAGUUAGGUUGGGUUUUGUGUUUUAGACUGUGCUAAACUUCAGACUUCAAUCCUAUCUAGGACCUCCUGAGUAGCUGAGAUCAUAGGCACACACUCACUAUUCCUAGUAACUGUUUGAAAUGGAGUUUCAUUUACAUUUUUUUCCA